This 428-nucleotide ribosomal RNA is filed under the name uncultured Agrobacterium sp. RNAcentral describes it as "bacterial SSU rRNA". It matches the Rfam family "Bacterial small subunit ribosomal RNA", at positions 1 to 458 of the family's 1533-position model. The record is from RNAcentral. Lineage: Bacteria; Pseudomonadati; Pseudomonadota; Alphaproteobacteria; Hyphomicrobiales; Rhizobiaceae.
GUUUUAGAGUUUGAUUCCUGGCUCAGAACGAACGCUGGCGGCAGGCUUAACACAUGCAAGUCGAACGCCCCGCAAGGGGAGUGGCAGACGGGUGAGUAACGCGUGGGAAUCUACCGUGCCCUACGGAACAACAGUUGGAAACGACUGCUAAUACCGUAUACGCCCUACGGGGGAAAGAUUUAUCGGGGUAUGAUGAGCCCGCGUUGGAUUAGCUAGUUGGUGGGGUAAAGGCCUACCAAGGCGACGAUCCAUAGCUGGUCUGAGAGGAUGAUCAGCCACAUUGGGACUGAGACACGGCCCAAACUCCUACGGGAGGCAGCAGUGGGGAAUAUUGGACAAUGGGCGCAAGCCUUGAUCCAGCCAUGCCGCGUGAGUGAUGAAGGUCUUAGGAUUGUAAAGCUCUUUCACCCGGAGAAGAAAUGCGGACC